ACCAUGGCUCAGUCGGUAGAGCAUGAGACUCUUCAUCUCAGGGUUAUGGGUUCAAGCCCCACGUUGGGCA
RNAcentral lists this transfer RNA (70 nucleotides) under Podarcis lilfordi (Lilford's wall lizard). RNAcentral's name for it is "tRNA.Lys". It matches the Rfam family "tRNA", at positions 5 to 66 of the family's 71-position model. Rfam says of the family: Transfer RNA (tRNA) molecules are approximately 80 nucleotides in length. Their secondary structure includes four short double-helical elements and three loops (D, anti-codon, and T loops). Further hydrogen bonds mediate the characteristic L-shaped molecular structure. tRNAs have two regions of fundamental functional importance: the anti-codon, which is responsible for specific mRNA codon recognition, and the 3' end, to which the tRNAs corresponding amino acid is attached (by aminoacyl-tRNA synthetases). tRNAs cope with the degeneracy of the genetic code in two manners: having more than one tRNA (with a specific anti-codon) for a particular amino acid; and 'wobble' base-pairing, i.e. permitting non-standard base-pairing at the 3rd anti-codon position. The record is from RNAcentral. Lineage: Eukaryota; Metazoa; Chordata; Lepidosauria; Squamata; Lacertidae.